UUGCUUUAGCAGCACUAAAAUUGGAACGAUAGAAGAUUGGCAAGGCCUCUGUGCAAGAAUGAUACACAAUUCAUGAAGCAGUCCAUAUUUUA
RNAcentral lists this small nuclear RNA (92 nucleotides) under Castor canadensis (American beaver). The record is from RNAcentral. Lineage: Eukaryota; Metazoa; Chordata; Mammalia; Rodentia; Castoridae.